CCUUGGAGUAAAGUAGCAGCACAUAAUGGUUUGUGGAUUUUGAAAAGGUGCAGGCCAUAUUGUGCUGCCUCAAAAAUACAAGGAUCUGAUCUUC
This is a microRNA precursor of Vulpes vulpes (red fox), 94 nucleotides long. NCBI's taxonomy places the organism in Eukaryota, Metazoa, Chordata, Mammalia, Carnivora, Canidae. The record is from Ensembl.